UACGAAGGGUGCUAGCGUUGCUCGGAAUCACUGGGCGUAAAGCGCACGUAGGCGGCUUCUUAAGUCAGGGGUGAAAUCCUGGAGCUCAACUCCAGAACUGCCUCUGAUACUGAGGAGCUUGAGUCCGGGAGAGGUGAGUGGAACUCCGAGUGUAGAGGUGAAAUUCGUAGAUAUUCGGAGGAACACCAGUGGCGAAGGCGGCUCACUGGCCCGAGACUGACGCUGAGAUGCGAAAGCGUGGGGAGCAAACAGG
This 253-nucleotide ribosomal RNA is filed under the name uncultured bacterium. RNAcentral describes it as "partial 16S ribosomal RNA". It matches the Rfam family "Bacterial small subunit ribosomal RNA", at positions 524 to 776 of the family's 1533-position model. The record is from RNAcentral.